UAUCCAGUCUCAUGCUGCAUUCGCAAUGAAUUCUUACUAUCGAACCAAAGGUCAGAGUUAUUUAAGCUGUGAUUUUGCGGGCACUGGUCAAAUCACCGCUGUUGAUCCAAGUAAGUGAAAUAUGUUAUCCAAGACUUACAAUCAUCGAUGAAUAUUGAGAAACUUGCAAACAAAGUAUAAUUUAGCAUUAUGAUGAUAACUAAAUUCAUUGUCCAUUACAUUAAAUCGAUACGAUAUUUGCUAAAAACAAUAACCAUUAAGAAUUUUAAUAUUCUUCAUUCUGUGUUUAUGUGCAGGUUAUAUCAACUGCCAUUACCUCUAAAAGAUUGGAAGAGAAGGAUCAAGGAUGAGCUUGACAUAUGCCCUUAAAAGUGUUAAUCAGCAGAAUGUUGCUAAAGUUCAUUUGAUUAGUCCAACUCUUCCUUCUUUGAUGAUUGUACUGCCAUUGCUGUAUCAAAUGUGUACAAUUUGUCAAUGAUAAAAUGCACUGCUACUUCAUUCUUUAACUAGGGUUGUGAUUUUUCUUUCAUAGAUUAUGAACUUAUAAAUGAUAAUUCAGAUAUAAACCUUACUCCUCCCUCUCCUUCAACUUUUUCAGAUAAAGCUAAAUUCAGCAACUCAUUUUUUCCACAUAACUUCCAUUUCUUUUAUACUUGAAAAAGAAAAAAAAAAAAAGAAAACUUAAUUGUUCUCCCAAAUGAAGAACUAAUAUUUUAAUAUAAUAACAUUUUAAACAUUAAGAAUAUUAAACUUAAUUGGUAUAAUAUUAUUUUUUAAUUAUUUAAAAAAUUUUAAAUAAAUUUUUAUUUUUUAUUGUAUUUAAUUAAUUUUUUAUAUUUUAUUUUUAAUCAAAUAUAAUUAUUGAUUAAUUGUAAUUAAUUAAAACAUUAUUAGUCAUUUCAUAUUUACAUAGUGUCAACAUAAUUUUAACAUGAAAAAUAAAAAAAAUCACGUAAUUUUAUUAUCAUGUCACAUAAAUAUAUCACGUUAUAAUCCAUAACAUGUUUGUAUUUUACGUUAACUUUAUAUAAUAUAAAAAUGAUAAAUCAAAAAUAAAAAUAUAAGAGUUUGAUUGAAUAUAACAAAAAAAUAAUAUUUAUUUGAGUUGUGUAGAAUAAUUUAAAAAAUUUUAUAUAUUUUAUGUUGAUUUUAUUUUAUUUUAUAAAAUUUGAUUCUGUCCAUUUAGAAUAAGUACCAUUAACAAUUAAUUAGUAUCUUUGAGAAAAAAACACAUAAUUAGUUUUGUAUAGUCGUUACUAUCAAUUUUAAAAUAUUAAUUUUUUUUUCAAAAUUAUACAAUUUAUAGGUGUAUUUUAUUUUAAUCUCAAAAUUCUAAAAUUGUUAUGAAUAUUUUUGUGAAUAUCCAUUUAUCUAUAUCUAGAUUUGAUGUAAAUUGGGUUGGAUUAGGAUUUAAUUCAUCUAAUCUUUUGCAGUAUGCUUGGUUCAUUGGAAGGAAUAGAAUGAGAAUAGAAUAGUCAUUCUAAGGGAAUAAAAUAGGAGAAAAAUAACUAUUAUAUAAAUUGGUUUAUGAAAAGGGAAUAUGAUAAAAAUUAUUAUUAUUACUUAUUCCAUUAUUUGAUUGGUAGGAACAAUUUUAAGAAUAGUUAAGGAAUAAUGGGUAAAUGAUAAAAAUACAUUUUAUUAAAAUUUAAAGAUUUUUAAUUUAAAAAUAAAAAUACUAUGAUGAGAAAAAAAUACUUUUUAUUAAAAUUAAAGAAUUUAUUUUGUUAAAAGAUAAAAAUAUUCUAAGUAAUAACAUCAAAAUAACUUUUACUAUAAUUAAAUAAUAUUUUCAUCAAAAUACAAAUAUAUUUUUAUUAUAAUUUAAUAAUAUUUUGUAUCAUAAGAUAAUUAAACCUUUUAUUAUAAUUAAAUAAUAUUUAAUAUUAAAAAAUAAAAUAUAUUCUUCAUUAUAUUUAAAAAAUACUAAAUAAUAUUCUUUAUUACAUUUAUUAUAUUCAAAUAAUAAUAUUAAAUACUAUUCAUUAUAAUAUUUAUUAUAGUUAAAUAAUAUUAAUAUAUUAUAUAAUAUUUAAAUAUUUUUAUUUCCUUUUUUUUUAAAUGAAGUGAAAAAUUUUGUGUUUUCUGUUCUUUAGAGAGAAGAGUGAGGAAGAGAGAGAAAAAAUAGGUUUAGUAUUUUUUUAUAAAGUAAUUUUUUGAAUUGUAAAAAGGUGUAUUUGUCUAAUCAAUUCUUUUUUUUAUUUCCAACAAUUUGGAAUAGCCAUUACCAAAGGGGACCUUGAUAAUGGCUAUUCAGGCUUUUCUUGGAAUGACUAUUCCAAAAAAUAACUAUCCUAUUUAACCAAAUGCAGUUUUAUCUCAAGAAUAAAAAUAGAAGAGGAAUGGUUAUUCUAUUCCCCCCAACCAAGCAUGUCUUACGUGUUAUCUUCAUUUUGUAAAUUCUAUCAAGAUAAGGGGGUUAUUUGUCUAUAAAUAAACUUCCUCAGUUCAUUUGUAAAUGCACAUUUCUAAGAUCUCUUUUCUCCUUCUAAAUACUUUUUUUCUUUUAUUUAAUUGGUCUUUCAAGUUAACCUUAUUUGUUCUUUUAAGUUAUACUUUCACAACACGUUAUCGACAUGAUCUUCUGAUCUCUUAAGUUUAGAAUUUGUUUUCAUCAUUUUCAAGCUUCAACAGAAUUUCAGUAAUUAGGUUUUAUUUUCUAGUUUUAGCAAAUCAGGUAAGUGUUAGUAUUAAUUUAUUUUCAUCCUCUCACAAAGGUUGUUUUUUUUUUUUUUUUGAUUUUAAAAAAUCAAGUAAGUGACUUGAUAUCCUUUUAGUAUUUUCAUUCCCUAAAAAUCAACUUUAAUAUGAAUUUUGUUAUCAUGUAGUAUAUAUUAUAUUUUGUCCCUUGCUAUUAAUGAAAAAUCAUAAUGUCCAUUUCCUAAAAUGAAUGUGGCAAACGAGUUACUAAUAAAAAAUUAUAAAUUUGACAGUUCCUUUAAAUGAAUGCAACAUCAUUUAAUAAUUAUGGUUAUGAUCAUGAAUUUGUCUAUUCUUUGAAGUGAAUGCCACAUCAUUUAAUAAUUAUGAUCAUGGACAUAGAAGAAAUCGUUAUAAUAAUUUAUACUAUUACGAUUUUAAUUAAGGAUAAUUUUACCACGAGAUGUGGAUGGAUACC
Molecule: long non-coding RNA, 3118 nt
Filed under: Theobroma cacao (cacao)
Lineage: Eukaryota; Viridiplantae; Streptophyta; Magnoliopsida; Malvales; Malvaceae
Description: long non-coding RNA (TCAC_LNC005176)
Source: RNAcentral